Molecule: ribosomal RNA, 1149 nt
Filed under: Triticum aestivum (bread wheat)
Lineage: Eukaryota; Viridiplantae; Streptophyta; Magnoliopsida; Poales; Poaceae
Description: partial small subunit ribosomal RNA
Source: RNAcentral
AUGAUUCAUACUCGCUUGGCGCGUUGGUUGGUGUGGAGCGUCGACAUACAACCAACGGUGUGCGCCGUCACCGCUUUGCAGCCCGUGACUCGGCGAGUAUGCAGCAACAGCUAUUGGGCACGUGCACGGCCUCUUUUUUGUCCCUGGAAGCGAAAAUUAGCGAGCCCAAUACUCCACACUCUGCAGCCAAGCUGGUGCGUAAACAAGAUCUGCAAGUGUGUGCGCGAGUCAACUGCUCACAAGUUGUUUCAGAAAAAAAAAAAGCUGCUCACAAGUUGCUGCUGUGGCGUGCAUGCACGCCCGCACGGGUGCACCACAGCUCAAGAUUCCCUCCCUCCCGCAGCAGCAGUACCGACCGUGCGCGGCGACGCAAUUGGGCCAUGGUACGGUCCAGCAGCCGCUGGAGGCGAGCCAGCGGCGCCCAACACGAGCGCGCGUACGUGCUCUCGCUCGGCUAAGGCAGGAGGCAGCGGCGUACUGGACGUUCAUUAUUCGGGACCUGGUCGACCUCGCCGUCGUUUUCCUCGGUGGAGCCGAGCGCAGUAUUGCCCGACCCGUGGGCGCACCGGUCCACAGUAUUCCGACGGCAUUGCCGUGUCCGUCUCCACGCACCAUAUAUACCUGAGCUUCCACUCUUUUCUCCACACAACUCGCUCGCUCUCCUCUGCUCAGCAUUUUGCUCGAAAGCCACCUACUGACCUACACACACCUACCAUGGUGGCAUCGGUGGCCUGCUCCUUCUUCUUCGACGACGAGCUGCUCGGCGAGCCCGGCAUGCCGCCGAUGGACGCGUGCGCGCUCUGCGCCAAGCCGCUGGCGCGCGACCGCGACGUCUUCAUGUACAGAGGGGACACGCCCUACUGCAGCGAGGAGUGUCGGCACGAGCAGAUGCACCUCGACGCCGUCUGUGCCAAGCAGGCCGCGCGGAGGCAGCAGCGGUUCUCGGCGGAGACGGAGUCCCACCGUGGGCAACGGCAGUCCAGCAAGAAUCAUCGUCGUUUCCGUCUCUCCGGCCGGUGCUCUAGCCUGGUCCGGUGGAGGCACAGGUACAGCUUGGCGCCGCCUACAGGAGGCAAGGGAGGGCAGCAGCAUCAGGCGGCACCAAGCAUCAGUGCCUGUAGCUUCCCAUAUGUGUACAUGGCUGAUUAA